This 814-nucleotide long non-coding RNA is filed under the name Pan troglodytes (chimpanzee). Its description in RNAcentral is "long non-coding RNA NONPTRT011187". Lineage: Eukaryota; Metazoa; Chordata; Mammalia; Primates; Hominidae. The record is from RNAcentral.
AUGAUGAUGAUGGUGAUGAUGAUGGUGAUGGUGAUGGUGAUGAUGAUGAUGAUAGUGAUGACAAUAAUAUUGAUGAUGGUGAUGGUGAUGAUGAUGGUGAUGGGGAUGGUGAUGAUGGUUCAUCUCUUAUGGACAGGCUGCCUACUGUCGAGAGCUCAUGGAUGAUUUGUCCUUUGAAGGGUUUUCUCACCGGAAGCUCUGCCAUUGCCUGGUGUGAGCGGUUCAUCCACAAGUGGCAGCCAAGAGCCUCCUGGCAGUGGCAUCAGGUGAGGAAACUGUGGCUCAGCAAAGAGGACAGCAGGGCUUUGAGCUUCGUGUCUAGCCCACGUUCCCGACUACUGCAAGAUUGCGCAGGCUGAUGCUGUGGAACCAGCACACCCUUUAGGGAAGCUCGGAACUUUGUUUAUCACAGUUAGGCACACCCCUCCUCAGCCUUGUGUCCCUGCUGCAGCCACUCUCUGUCUCCACCUGCUGUGAUGGGCACUGCUUACUGUGGUCCCUGCUCUAGCUGCUGCCACCUCCGGGUGGCCACGGGGAUCUGGACCCACUGGGCCUCCCAUGGCUGCUUCUGGGUGUGUGGGCCUGGACAUUUCCAGGGCUCUGCUCUCCCUGUCUGCAUGCCCCCAUGGCCACGCCCACCUUGAGGAGGGCAGUGCACAUGGCCCCUGCCUGCCAACGAGGCCUCUUUGGGGCGGUGCGGGGGUGGGGGGACCUGGGAAGGUCCUUGGGAACCUGGGUCAUCGGGCCGACUGUCCCAAGGGGUGCUCUGUCCCAGCUCUCAGCUCUCAGGGCAGCCCCUCUGAUCACCAGCCCU